UACGUAGGGGGCUAGCGUUGCUCGGAAUCACUGGGCGUAAAGGGUGCGUAGGCGGGUUUUUAAGUCAGGGGUGAAAUCCUGGAGCUCAACUCCAGAACUGCCUUUGAUACUGAAGAUCUUGAGUCCGGGAGAGGUGAGUGGAACUGCGAGUGUAGAGGUGAAAUUCGUAGAUAUUCGCAAGAACACCAGUGGCGAAGGCGGCUCACUGGCCCGGUACUGACGCUGAGGCACGAAAGCGUGGGGAGCAAACAGG
This 253-nucleotide ribosomal RNA is filed under the name uncultured bacterium. Its description in RNAcentral is "partial 16S ribosomal RNA". It matches the Rfam family "Bacterial small subunit ribosomal RNA", at positions 524 to 776 of the family's 1533-position model. The record is from RNAcentral.